Molecule: ribosomal RNA, 406 nt
Filed under: uncultured bacterium
Lineage: Bacteria
Description: partial 16S ribosomal RNA
Rfam family: Bacterial small subunit ribosomal RNA
Source: RNAcentral
AUUGAACGCUGGCGGCAGGCCUAACACAUGCAAGUCGAACGAGUGGCGGACGGGUGAGUAAUGUCUGGGAAACUGCCCGAUGGAGGGGGAUAACUACUGGAAACGGUAGCUAAUACCGCAUACCAUCGGAUGUGCCCAGAUGGGUUUAGCUAGUAGGUGGGGUAACGGCUCACCUAGGCCACGAUCCCUAGCUGACCUGAGAGGUUGACCAGCCACACUGGAACUGAGACACGGUCCAGACUCCUACGGGAGGCAGCAGUGGGGAAUAUUCGACAAUGGGCGAAAGCCUGAUGCAGCCAUGCCGCGUGUAUGAAGAAGGUCUUCGGGUUGUAAAGUACUUUCAGUGAGGAGGCGUUACUCGAAGAAGAAGCAACGGCUAACUCCGUGCCAGCAGCCGCGGUAAUUC